CCCCCCUCAAGAUGAGAUUUCCCAUUGCGCAAGCAAGUAAGAUCCCUCAAAGACGAUGAGGUAGAUAGGUUCGAGGUGGAAGCGUGGCGACACGUGCAGCUGACGAAUACUAAUCGAUCGAGGACUUAACCAAUU
This 135-nucleotide ribosomal RNA is filed under the name Planomicrobium sp. Y74. Its description in RNAcentral is "partial 23S ribosomal RNA". It matches the Rfam family "Bacterial large subunit ribosomal RNA", at positions 2793 to 2925 of the family's 2925-position model. The record is from RNAcentral. Lineage: Bacteria; Bacillati; Bacillota; Bacilli; Caryophanales; Caryophanaceae.